This 629-nucleotide ribosomal RNA is filed under the name Rhizocarpon geographicum. Its description in RNAcentral is "partial large subunit ribosomal RNA". Lineage: Eukaryota; Fungi; Ascomycota; Lecanoromycetes; Rhizocarpales; Rhizocarpaceae. The record is from RNAcentral.
AUCUAAAAUAAUAUACCGAGACCUUUCCAUAAAUAUUUAUAUGUACAAAGUUACAUAGAAUAUAUAUGGGGUAGCGGAACAUUGGGCAUAUCUCAGAUUUUUUCUUUUUAAGACUUAAGAUUAGAUUACCCAAGUGAUAAUGCUGACAUGAGUAACGAUAAAGGGUUUAUACCCUCGCCUAAAGCUUAGGAAUUUACUUAAAGUAACGGCCUCUAAGUUUAAGUCUGCUUACUUGUAAUAACUAGUAUCUUGUUGUUGAUACAAGUAAGUAAACAUCCUAAAGGUAUAAACGAUGAGAAAAUAAAAACUUAGUUUUACAGAUAAAAUAUAAGCCUAUAAGGUGAACAAAUUUAGAUAGGUUUAUCUAUAUAAGGUACUAGAUAACUAAAUUAUAAUUAUAUAUAUUAUAGAAAUAGCAUUUGUAACAAACGGUGUUGAUGUAAGAAUUGCUUAUCAUCAUCUUUUAGAUGAAGUGAAGUAAUUGUUAUAUAAAAAGCAAUCAAUAAGUUGUCAAAACAAAGUGAGAAAUGCUCUGGAAAAAUGGAAAACUUUGUCGUGAUUUAUAUCUGAGAUAGUUAUAUAUAAGGCGGAUCGUCCCUUGUAUAUGCCUAUUAAGGCUAUAGUUGCGA